This is a long non-coding RNA of Capra hircus (goat), 1634 nucleotides long. RefSeq lists it as uncharacterized. NCBI's taxonomy places the organism in Eukaryota, Metazoa, Chordata, Mammalia, Artiodactyla, Bovidae. The transcript is spliced from 3 exons. The record is from RefSeq and is a predicted model, not a curated record.
CUCCGACACUGAGGCUCAGAACCCAGUGACUGAGAAGUUUCCUCCAGACGCCUUGUCUUCUAGAAGCACCUAUUCAUUCUUAACGCUCUGGAUCAUUCUUGAUUUUUGCGGUUUCUCCUCUCCUGGUCAGGCUUCAUCUUUUAUCAUUUUCCCCUCCAGACUUUUAGUGGGGAACAGCUCUAAGGAGAAGAUUACAACUCCCAGUGGUUGGCCAGGGGAAAGAGCCAGCUUCUCAAACACAGGAAAUGAAUGAGAAAAACAAAGACAGCCUGGCAGAAAGUGGUUGUGUACGAUGUAUCAAGAUGGACCUUGGGAAACAUGGAAGGGGUACCCUCAGGAUGCCUGAGAAAAGUCUUCAAGAUGGUACAAUUCUUUUUUUAUAUACAAGUAUUUAUUUUGGCUGUGCCGCACAUGGGAUCUUUAGUCACGGCAUGUGGGAUCCAGUUCCCUGACCGGGGACUGAGCCCAGGUCCCCUGCGUUGGGAGCAUGGAGUCUUAGCCACUGGACCACCAGGGACACCCCCUAGAAUUCUACUUUAGACGGUCUGGAAUGAACGUUUAUCCUGAUUCCAUGGCCCAUCAAUACUCCAUGCAGUCCUGACUCCUCCCAGUGUUACAGGGUGAAGGUCACUCACAAAAAGUGAGCUUGGACGCAGCAGACCAAGGAGGCCCAGCCCUGGGCCUGAACUAGAGGAAACAGAGGCUUUCCUGUGCAUCUUUGCCACGAGAAACUAAAGUGUCCAAACACCUACAGAACGGCAUCAUCUGUUGCUCUUUUUUUAGUUUUUUUUGUUUUUCCCUUGGCAAAUGGUCAAUAAAGCAGAAAACUCUUAUCAUCUCAAUCCUUGUUGAGAAGUUACAUACCCAUGCCCUUGGUGCCUCUGAAUUCUGUAGGCAAUGCCUCUCCAAAAAUACAAUAUUCAAAUAAGAACAAAGUGAAGACUGUUCAGCCGCUUUGGCAAGCACUCUGCUAAUAGUAAUUACUGAUGUCAUGAUUUGAUGUCUUCAGACACAUCGCAAGCCUCGUGCUGGAAAUUUGCAGCGAGAACCAGAUACAAACCUCCAUGGAUACAACAGCAGUUUACGUAUUAUCUUUGGCACGAACUUCUGCCUUCUUGUGAGCGUGAACGAAAAAAGGUGCAGUCCAGCGUUUCUGUUAGGGUUCACUGAUUGGAAAGUUGGCAAUGUUAAAAUGUGUAUUUAUCAAAAUCAUGGAUUCCUUGAGGCUGGACGUAAUUUUUCCUCUCCUCUUUCUUCUGCUAAACGAGGGAGAAGGUGGGACGAGAAGGCAGAGCAAAGCAAGAGAAGCACGCACAUUUUCUUAAAUCCAGAGAUGGAAAUGGAGCCCUUCUUACUGAGCCUUCUCCAGAUGAAUGCCACCAGACAUUCCUGGAGGCAUUGCCCUGGCUUUCUUCCCUGAGUCCCUCGGCUGAACUUCUAACUCACUCCAAGGGUGUGUUGGGUCCUACCUACUUUCUUGAAAGGGGCUUGUUUUGAACGCAUAUAGCUUUCAGCCCUGCAGUUCUAUUCCUAGGAACUUACCCUAUAGUUUUAUUAGCACACAUGGAGAAUUAUAUAUAUUAUAUAUACAGUAAGACUCCUAGAGGGUGUGGAGAAAAGGGAACCCUCCUACA